UAAGACGUAGGGCGCGAGCGUUGUCCGGAUUUAUUGGGCGUAAAGAGCUCGUAGGCGGCUUGUCGCGUCGGCUGUGAAAUCCCGUGGCUCAACUGUGGGCGGGCAGCUGAUACGGGCAGGCUGGAGUUCGGUAGGGGAGACUGGAAUUCCUGGUGUAGCGGUGAAAUGCGCAGAUAUCAGGAGGAACACCGGUGGCGAAGGCGGGUCUCUGGGCCGAUACUGACGCUGAGGAGCGAAAGCGUGGGGAGCGAACAGGAUUAGAUACCCUGGUAGUCCACGCUGUAAACGUUGGGCGCUAGGUGUGGGGUGCCUCUCCGGUGUCCUGUGCCGUAGCUAACGCAUUAAGCGCCCCGCCUGGGGAGUACGGCCGCAAGGCUA
RNAcentral lists this ribosomal RNA (378 nucleotides) under uncultured bacterium. RNAcentral's name for it is "bacterial SSU rRNA". It matches the Rfam family "Bacterial small subunit ribosomal RNA", at positions 521 to 896 of the family's 1533-position model. The record is from RNAcentral.